AGAAGCACGACGGGCCAACCCAACUAAACGGCCUCCUUUCCUUUUAGGAACCGCCUACAAAAAUAUUUAAAGUAAGUAAAUAUGGACAAGUAAGUAAUCGACAUUAUAAAAAAAAUAUAUUAAUAAAAAAAAUUACCUUUUCAACCAUCUCAUUUAUUUGCAAUAGAGACAGGUUGGUUGAAGCUCCCGUGGAGUCGCCGUCAUCAGAGAGAGGCUGAGAUUGAGAAACUAUCUCAGCUUCCACCAAAUCAACUACACCUCUGAUCACGGGGUCCUGAAUUUGACCCGUCGUCUUGUUAGUGUGAGCCACCUUAAUGAGUUGGAGACGAUCAACGGGAUUACCGUCAUUUGCUUCGAUCUAAAAAAACCGCCAUUAUUAGCCAAAAAAUAUAUAAAAUAUUUAUUUAAAAAAUAUAAAGAUAAAUAAUAAUAAAAAACUUACAAGUUCAUCCUCCUUAGUAGACAUGGAGCAAGCGCCGAGGUUGUGCACAUACAUACCUUUCCCGCCACGAUCGCUCUUCCGGUUCCUGGAGUUCCUAGAAGACGUCUCUGCAGUGUCUUCCCUCUCCCAAUGAGCUAUCAACUGCUCCCACACCCCCCCGUUGAUGAACCGUGGCUUCUUGUUCUUCUGCCAAACUGUCUUCCACGCGUUUAUCUGCUUUGUGUAAGAGUCCAUGGCCUUUUCGUUGAAUUUCUUACGGACUGUUUCCGUAAGAUCGGAGUGCCAGUUGAACUCUUGCUACAAAACAAACACAAUUUAAUAAGUAAAUAUAUGUAAAAAAAUGUAAAAACUUAAAAAAAAUGAAGGGUUACUAUACCGCAAACUGACGAAACCACAACUCUCGUUCGUCGGAAGGGAUCACACUCCACUUUGGAUAUCCAAAACGGAGCAUGGAGUACAUCAUCUGGUUGAUGCUCCGGCUAAUGCCAUUUUUCGACUUGGUGAACCUUUAAAAAAAAAUACAAGUUAGCAAGUUAAUUAAAGCAAAAAAUAUAACGGUACAAAUAAAAAAAAAUACUAACCAAGUGCUAUGGCCUCGUCGUGGGUUGAGUUGGAGAAACGGGAGAUGCUCUCGACCUGGUUGUUGAACCAAUAGAUGAACCGGCAUGACCCCCGGAUCCUGUUGAGCAGCAGCGUGAGGGGCAGCGUGAGGGGCAGAGGGAGCUGGAGCGGGAAUAUAUGCGGGAACCGAGUCAUGAGACGAUACCGAUGCACGGGAACCGCUCACCGAACUACGUCGAAGACGGGCUGCGGGGCGGGCUUCAUCCUCGGCCCUAAAAAAAAAAAAUUAACCCAUCAAACAUAUUUUCAUUUAUAUAUUUACAAAAGGUUUUAUAAACGUUUUAAAAAAAACUAUUAAACUUUAUAUAUAUAUAUAUAUAUAUAUGUAUACAAAAUUAUAAAAAAUUUAUAAAUAUAGAAAAAUGUUGUUAAAAAUUUAUAAAUGAAGAAAAAUGUUGUUAAAUAUUUAUAUUUUAAAAAAAAAAUGUUGUUAAAUAUUUAUUAGUGGAAACUUAAAAAAAAAUAUAAAAAAUUUUAAAAUUUUAAAAUUUUUACUAUACAUGAUUUACAUAUAUAUAUAUGUAUACAAAAUUAUAAAAAAUUUAUAAAUAUAGAAAAAUGUUGUUAAAAUUUAUAAAUGAAGAAAAAUGGUGUUAAAUAUUUAUAUUUUUUUCAAAAAAACGUUUUUAAAAACCAAAAAACGUUUUUAAAAAUCAAAAAACGUUUUUAAAAAUCAAAAAACGUUUUUAAAAAUCAAAAAACGUUUUUAAAAAUCAAAAAACGUUUUUAAAAAUCAAAAAACGUUUUUAAAAAUCAAAAAACGUUUUUAAAAAUCAAAAAACGUUUUUAAAAAUCAAAAAACGUUUUUAAAAAUAAAAAAACGUUUUUAAAAAUCAAAAAACGUUUUUAAAAAUCAAAAAACGUUUUUAAAAAUCAAAAAACGUUUUUAAAAAUCAAAAAAUGUUCCAAAAAAAACUAAAACAACAAUCCUAACUUAUAUAUCCUAAACUAUCCAUUCAAUCCUAAAAUGUUCAAUCAAACAACCUAAAAUCCGAGAUCAACUUCCAAAACCCUAAACAAUGGAAAAAAAAAAGGUUUGGGAUGAUUCUUACAUGAUUUGGGGUUUGGGGAAGAGAUAGGAGGGUGAGGAGAGGAUUCGCCGGUGAAGAGAGGCCGGAAUCGCCGGAGAGUCGCCGAAAUCGCCGAAAUCGCCGGAGAGUUUUGAGAGAGAGAGAGGCCGCGGAGAUAACGAAGAAGAAAGGAGAAGGGUUUUUAUUUCCGUGGAUUCCGACGGACACGGGUUCGUCGGUAUUCCGUCGGUAUAUUUAAAAUAUACCAAAUGCCGAUUCGCGAAAAUUUUCAAGCGGUUUGGUUCUCCCGGGCUAAUUGAAAUUCCGACGGAACGUGUCCGUCAGUAUUUUCCGACGGACACAUUCCGUCGGUAUAUUCCGACGGAAUUCCGACGACUUAGUGUUUAGGGUGUUCAUUUCAAGUUUCUAAAUGCAAAAUCCAAAUCUUUGAUAAUAUAUAUAGUAUUUGCAUAAAGAUUUAACAAUAAAAAUGUUUUAUAACACGAUUUUACACAAUAACAUUUUUUGUAGUGUAAGCUUAUAUAAAUAUGAUUGUAUAAGUAUAUAAUGUUAAGAUGAGAUGUUAUGAAAACAAUGAUAUGCAUACAUAAAUAUUUUAAUGAGUUGUUAUAUUUGAACGGUUGCGAUCUAAUACUAUACUAAACACUUAUUAUGUGUUAUUUUCAUAGUUUUGGCAUCUAAAUUUAUAGAUUUUUAUGAUUGAAACUUUAUAGAAAAACAUGUCGUCGGUAUUUUCCGACGAAAUACCGACGACCUUUCCAAUUUUCAAUGAAACCCGUUGUCGUCGCUAUGUCGUCGGUAUAUUGCGAGGGAUUUCCGACGGACCAUUAAAAAAAAAAAAAAAAAAAACUAAUCAGAAUCUUCUGAAUCUUCAUCAAACUCCCCAACCUCGGCUUCCGGCUCUGAAUGUACGACAGCAUCAUGUCCAAACACAGUCAAAUUCUCAACGAGUUGAACAUUUUCCAAAUCUUCAACUGCCUGGGCGUUGCUGGUAGACUCUGGUUGCAAUGGUUCAUCAUCAUCAGAAGUUCCAUCCACUCGUCCUCUUGGGUUGAUUUGCGUUACAGUAACCCAUGGAUCGUCUCUGUACGUCACCCGAGGGUAACUGAUGUAGCACACCUAUACAUAUCAAUUAUACAAGUAUUAGUAAAAUAUAUAACAUUAAUUAAUUAUAUUGGUAAAAAAUUAUGAAUAGAUUGACAUACCUGAUCAGCUUGCGAACCAAGAAUGAAGGGAUCAUAAUAUUGAAGUUUCCGCCGCGAAUGAACUGAUGUAACACCAAACGCAUCAAUCUUCACUCCUCUAUCUGGGGUGGUGUCAUACCAAUCACAAUAGAAUACUACACAACGCAAUCCAACCAUUCCAGGAAAUUGGAUUUCCAAUAUUUCUUUUAUGUUGCCGUAGUAGACAUCGUCACCAGAAGAAGAUGAAACACCAGCAUCAUAUGUUGUCUUAGAAUGACCUUUCCUUGUGAAUGCAUAUCCUCGCGUACAAAAUUUAGGAUAUGAUUUGACCACAUAGUUUGGUCCCUGCACAAAUUCGCGUAUCCAAUCAUCGAACACAAGACCUCUGGCCAAACCAUCAUUCACCUAUAAAAAAAAACAUAUAUGAUUGCAAAAUUAAUUAGUUUAUAUAUAUUAAAUUUAAACUAAUCAUUUGCAUAGGGUAAUAUGAUAUAUGACUCACAUAACUACGAAGCCACGCAGCAAAUCCGUUAUCUCUAAGUUGUCGAAGCUCAUCUUCUGUUGCAUGCCUGUGAGUCAUACGCAACUCCGCCAUAUAUACACUAUAUACAAAAAUAUUAUCAAUAUGAAAUAAAUUUAUUGAAUAUUAAUCUAACAAUAAAUGAAUAAAUAUUUUUACCUCUCAUAUUGUAGAACAUCUUCACAGUUGGUGAGCAAAUAUGUUUGCAAAUGAGCGUGCUCAGUGUCCGUAAGUCUCCGCUUCGUGAAUUUUCCACUAAGUCGUCCUAUUUCCUUGAACAUGCUUGGGACAGUAACAUGAUAUGUUGCUCUCUCCCCUCUAUCAUCAUGCCGAGCAGGUCUUCGGUGUUUUGUUUGCACUUCUGGUGGAAAAUAAUUUUCAGCAAAGAUUGCAGUUUCUUCAUUGAUCACCUGUGCCACUAUAGAUCCUUCCACCCUGCUUUGAUUUUUGACCAUCUUCUUCAGAUGAUGCAUAUAACGCUCAAAAAUAUACAUCCAUCUGUACUGCACAGGACCACCAAGUUCCAAUUCUCUUGCGAGAUGAAUAGCAAGAUGUUCCAUUACAUCAAAGAAUGAUGGAGGAAAUAUCUUCUCAAGGUUGCACAUGCUGACUAGUGCGUUUAUCUUCAAAUUAUUAAUACCCUCUUCCGUCACUACUCUGUUGCAUAAGUCGCGGAAGAAAACACUAAUCCCUACAUAGAUAAAAGACAUAAUUUUCGUAACUAUUGAGUUUUUAUAAGCAUAAUUGUUAAAUAUAAAAAUAAAUUAAAUUGUAAAAAUAUAAGAUACCUGCAAUUGCUUCAUGAACAUUACGUGGCAAUAAUGCUGAAAAAGAAAACGGAAGGAGGCGCUGCAUAAUUACAUGACAAUCAUGACUCUUCAAGCCAGUAAACUUUCCUUCGCUUCAAUCAACGCAGUUCCCCAAAUUUGAUGCAUACCCGUCAGGAAAUUUCACUUUAUCAACGCAGUUCCCCAAAUUUGAUGCAUAUCCGUCAGGAAAUUACACUAUAUCUGUAAUCCAAUCAAAGAACUCUUCUUUUCUAGCACCAUCAUUAUCAUGCCGAGCAGGUCAUCGGUGUUUUGUAUGCACUUCUGGUGGAAAAUAAUUGUCAGCAAAGAUUGCAGUUUCUUCAUUGAUCACCUGUGCCACUAUAGAUCCUUCCACCCUGCUUUGAAUUUUGACCAUCUUCUUCAGAUGAUGCAUAUAACGCUCAAAAAUAUACAUCCAUCUGUACUGCACAGGAUCACCAAGUUCCAAUUCUCUUGCGAGAUGAAUAGCAAGAUGUUCCAUUACAUCAAAGAAUGAUGGAGGAAAUAUCUUCUCAAGGUUGCACAUGCUGACUAGUGCGUUUAUCUUCAAAUUAUUAAUACCCUCUUCCGUCACUACUCUGUUGCAUAAGUAUGGCUGAUCAGGUGGUAGAAAUCGUCUGUGACAUUCAAACCAACACGUUUUCCUUCCGUUCUUUAGUUGGAAAGCAUCUGUGUCAUCUUGACAAUAUGGACAUGAUAGCCUCCCAUGUGUUGUCCAUCCAGAUAACAUACCAUAUGCUGGAAAGUCACUUAUUGUCCACAUAAGUACUGCCCGCAUCUGAAAGUUUUCUUUGCGCGAAACAUCGUAUGUCUCAAAACCAUGCGCCCAUAGUUGUUGCAACUCAUAUAUUAGUGGUUGAAGAAACACAUCUAGUGAUCUUUUAGGAUGAUCUGGCCCGGGGACGAGAAUUGAGAGAAACAAAAACUCUCGUCGCAUGCACAAGCUCGGCCGUAAGUUGUACGGUGUCACAAUAACUGGCCAUAGAGAAUACUGCCUUCCAUGCUUUCCAAAUGGGCUGAAACCAUCAGUAGAUAAUCCAAGAUAAACAUUUCUUCUCUCUUCCGCAAAUUCUGGAUAUGUUGACUGGAAAUGUUUCCAAGCCUUUGCAUCUGAAGGAUGUCUAAUCUCACCAUUUGUGGAAUGCUCUGCAUGCCAUCUCAUUGCUUUUGCUGUGCGCUCACACUGAUACAACCUCUUCAAUCUUUCCGUCAAAGGCAAAUACCACAUUCUUUUGAAUGGGAUCGGAACUCUUCCCNNNNNNNNNNNNNNNNNNNNNNNNNNNNNNNNNNNNNNNNNNNNNNNNNNNNNNNNNNNNNNNNNNNNNNNNNNNNNNNNNNNNNNNNNNNNNNNNNNNNNNNNNNNNNNNNNNNNNNNNNNNNNNNNNNNNNNNNNNNNNNNNNNAAAAUCAGUAAUCGCAUCCAUUUGGCAUGAAGAAGUUAUCCCACUUUCAAAUCAGGUGAUCCCAGUUUCCCAGUUUGGGAAUAACACAGCUUCUUCUCUACAAUUUUGAUACAAAGGUUGUUUUCCUGCAUCCAACAUGUCAAAAAAUCUCCUAGACUCGGGGUUUGGUUCUUCCCCUCUAUAAUGAUCAUGUACCAUCUGCUCAGUACCUACACCAUAAUCUAUAUCCGUUCUAGAUUCUUCUAACCUAAUAUCAGGCUGAGGUUCGCUAGUACUACCAUAUUCAUAACCAGUUUCCCCAUGAAGGUACCAAACUUUAUAAUUACGUGAAAACCCUUUCAUAUACAAAUGAGUCCAAACAUCAAAUUCUUUUAUAACCUUAUUAUUAUUGCAAGAAGAGCAGGGACAUCUUAACAUACCACUUUUUGCAUCCGGUUGCUGUUGAACAAGCCUCAUGAAUUCUCCAAUCCCUUGAACGUAUUCUUCCGUAAGCAAAUUGGUGUUCGGAUCCAAAUGAGGUUUAUCCAUCCACGAACGAUAAUAAACUUCUGAAGACAUGAUUUUCACGGAAUUGUUAUGACUAAAGAGAAUGAAGAGAGAAUGAAGUGUGAAUGAGUUGAAUGAGGAGGGGUUGUAUUUAUAGGAAAUUGCUUACGGACCUCCGACGACUUUCCGACGAAAUUCCGACGGAUAUAAAGAAGUCCGUCGGAAUUCCGUCGGAAUUGUCCAAUCCCAAACGGCUAUACAACGGUCAUAUGUAUUUGUCGGCAACGGUCACAUGGUUCGUCGGAAUUCCGUCGGAAAAUACCGAUGGAAUUCCGACGACUUUGCUGUUAAUCGGAAUGUCGUCGGAAUUCCGUCGGAAUAUACCGACGAACUUCCGACGACUACAACGGUUACAUUUUUUAUCGGAAUGUCGUCGAAAAGUCGUCGGAAAAUUCCGACGAACCGUAUGUCGUCGGAAUUCCGUCGGAAAUGGUUGACAGAAUUCCGACGACUUCAUUUUUUUGGAUUUGGUCGGAAAUUUGUCAGUAUUCCGUCGCAAAUGUCCGACGACCUUGGUGUCCGUCGGAACCUCCAUCGGAAUUUGGUGUGUUUUCUUGUAGUGUUACUAUGGUCUAAAUUUCUUGUAAGUAAUUAAAGAUCAAAAGGAAGCAUCACAAAAAGGCCUACCUUUUCUUUAUUGCUAAGAUAUCAGAACCUGGGCUUACCUUCCAGAUGUGUCAAUAUUGAGGUACCUGAUAACAAACCAAAGUAUGAGCAACAUUAGUUGAAGAACUGCACGGAAAAAUCCUAAAAACUUAUUCAGAGCUAAAUAUAGUACACCUGAACCAUAUAAGCAAAUAAACAAACACAAUACACUUUGGCAUGCAAACAAAGACGUUUCAGUGAAUAUAUAUUUCUCCAGAUGCUGAGAUGUACAACACAGAACACCACCAUAGUUUUAGAUGUAUAAAUCUCCGAAUAUCCUUUUCUACUCAAGCUAUUGGAGAUGGCAGUGGAGUGACCAGUUCAAUAAUAUCGAUGCAGUCAUACAUAUACAUUUCUCCUACAAAACACAAUCACAGACAUGAGUGAGUGCGCCCAUUUAUUAUAUAUACUUAGGCGCGGAUGGUUUCUAACUGUCCAAAAAAGGUUUGAACAAAAGACGCAGAGACCAUUUCUUAACAUAGAAAAUUUGAUAGACGACCCAGAAAACACAUACAAAAUUUGAUAAAAGACCUAAGUAAUAGAAGAAAAUAAAUAAUGAAAGGAAUCAGAAAGUGAAAAGUAAACUAAUUAGGGUUUAAGCAUGCUACCAUGAAAUCACGUUGCUUUGUAAAUAUUUUUUUCUUUCUCGGCGGUGCAAUCUACACAUCAAGCUACCGUACGUUGUUCUCAACACAAACUUUCUCACCGCAACAUAGCCUCCUCGCAAAACUUACAAAUGUAAACAUGAAAAUCUGCGUUUCUUUGACUAUAUACUUAUACGAAUCUACAAUGAAGGAAUAAUACAAACCUGGAGUUCUUUUGCUCUGAGAAGUCAUAAGGGUGGUUCCUAAAUUGGGACGAUAUGAUGAGGUCUGUUUGGGACCUGGAUCAUGCCAUCGGUUUAUAUAGUGGUAAAAUCUCUUAGGUUGUUGAUUUUUUCUGUCACUAAUGAGACUUUAUGACGUUAAAAGGUCGGUCGCCAACGUUAGGGAGAAUCAAAAAAGGUUGCAACAGCUGGGUUACGCAGAUGGGAGUGAGGAAGAUGAAGAGUGUGAGUGUUAAAGUUCAAAAAAUAGAAAAAAUUGAAGAGUGUGUGGCGAUGCUUUUAUGCUCUUUAAACCUCAGAUCUCUGUAGCAAUUUGUUUAUGGUUUCCCUAUAAUGCCAUUCUCUCCACUCCACAUGCUAAGAAACUACUGACACAGAAAUCCCACGAGAUAUGGACCCAGAAAUCGUAGCCUUAUGUUCAUCUUAGGUUUGCGAGUAGGAUGAUUGUAACCACAAGAUUUUCUAUUUCUUAAAUAAAUUUUUAUCAUCUUUCUAAUCUAUAUCUUUCCAUUAUCGUCGAUGCUCACCAUCUCCUUCAGUCUUCUCUUAAAUUCUUCACCAACAUGAAAUCAACCGAUUUGUUUCUCUUUAUGUAAGUUUUAUAAGUUUAUUUAGUUGUUAAAUGAUAUACAUUAAUUUUUUUUCAUAUUCUUUCUUAUAUACAUGAAGGCUGCCAUGCGAUUUAAGAAUUGGUUAAUAAUAAGACAUGAGCUCAUACUAGAGUAUAUAAUAUAUUAAUGAUGCCUAACAUGUUUACUUAGAGGUUAAUGAUAUACUUUACGUAGAACUACAUAAAGGACAAUAAUAAUGUUAGCAGCUAUUCAAAAUAGAUAGAGUUUACUCUGGAUAUUAUACUAUAUCAAAAAACCAAUAUCUCAUGGUUAAAGAAUGCCUGUUAAGAUGUAAUAUUUAUAAUAAUCUACAAAAAUAUUGUUAGAUGUUAUAUGAAAACAUAAUGGUACCCC
Molecule: long non-coding RNA, 8991 nt
Filed under: Brassica napus (rape)
Lineage: Eukaryota; Viridiplantae; Streptophyta; Magnoliopsida; Brassicales; Brassicaceae
Description: long non-coding RNA (BNAP_LNC018383)
Source: RNAcentral